This 226-nucleotide ribosomal RNA is filed under the name Ixodes scapularis (black-legged tick). RNAcentral describes it as "eukaryotic small subunit ribosomal RNA". It matches the Rfam family "Eukaryotic small subunit ribosomal RNA", at positions 1229 to 1478 of the family's 1831-position model. Lineage: Eukaryota; Metazoa; Arthropoda; Arachnida; Ixodida; Ixodidae. The record is from RNAcentral.
UUCUGGGAGGAUUGACAGAUUAAGAGCUCUUUCUUGAUUCUGUGGAUAAUGGUGCAUGUCCGUUCUUAGUUGGUGGAGCGAUAUGUCCGGUUAAUUCCGAUAACGCAUGAGAUUCUAGCCUACUAAAUAGGUGCGUGGUUCUCUGCACCUUGCACCCUUUUUAGAGAGAGAAGCGGCUCCUAGCCGCACGAAACAGAGCAAUAACAGGUCUGUGAUGCCCUCAGAU